UCCCUGGUGGCUCAGAGGUUAAAGCAUCUGCCUGCAAUGCAGGAGACUCAGGUUUGAUCCCUGAGUUGGGAA
Molecule: transfer RNA, 72 nt
Filed under: Capra hircus (goat)
Lineage: Eukaryota; Metazoa; Chordata; Mammalia; Artiodactyla; Bovidae
Also listed under: 1 other name
Rfam family: tRNA
About the family: Transfer RNA (tRNA) molecules are approximately 80 nucleotides in length. Their secondary structure includes four short double-helical elements and three loops (D, anti-codon, and T loops). Further hydrogen bonds mediate the characteristic L-shaped molecular structure. tRNAs have two regions of fundamental functional importance: the anti-codon, which is responsible for specific mRNA codon recognition, and the 3' end, to which the tRNAs corresponding amino acid is attached (by aminoacyl-tRNA synthetases). tRNAs cope with the degeneracy of the genetic code in two manners: having more than one tRNA (with a specific anti-codon) for a particular amino acid; and 'wobble' base-pairing, i.e. permitting non-standard base-pairing at the 3rd anti-codon position.
Source: Rfam by way of RNAcentral